GGGAGGGGGGCCGCCGCCGCCGUCAUACUCAUAUCAUAUCUUCUUCUUCUUCUCCAAAAAAAUACUAGUGUAAUGUGUGAUUUGUGAGAGAUGAUGGAGCUGUGUAGGAUUCGAACCUUCCAGAAGAGCCUACUGAGGCCCCUCCUCCUCCUCCAGCAUGCCCCUUGUAGAACCCUCCAAACCCUAGGGCGGUCCCCUUCGCCCUCGGUGUUCCGGCCCCCCCGCCGCCGCCCCCCGCUCCUCCUCCUCCUCCUCCGCUCCUCCUUCGCCUCCGUCUCUCCGGGUCCGGCCCCCGGGAGCGGGACAGGCGAAUGCCCCCCGCCCCCGCCCGCGCCCUUGCCGCCCGACGAGCUCGCCUCCGACGACGACGCCUACUACCACGAGCACAUUCUCGAGGCCACGCAGGAGGACCAAAGUCGCCUCGUUCCAGUCAAGGCCUACUUCCCCUGCACCAGCAUCAACCUCAAGAGCCUCCAGUCCCAGAAUUCCUUCAAUGUCAUCCCCCCCACUUCGCGUGCUACCAACUACGUCGUCCUCAGGUACUACGAUGUCAAGGGAGACCCAGAGGGUUUUAAGGCUGGCAUCAUAGAUGAAAGUCAUUGCCACUAUAUGGUGGUGUUCCAAUAUGGGUCCAUUGUGCUGUUUAAUGUUUCUGAUCAUGAAGCGGAUGGAUACCUGAAAAUUGUUGAGAAGCAUGCAUCAGGCUUACUUCCAGAGAUGAGAAAAGAUGAUUAUGCUGUUGUUGAGAAGCCUACCUUGGAGACAUGGAUGCAGGGUGGACUUGACUUCAUCAUACUCAGGGACCUAAGUAUCGAUGGGAUUCGUACAAUUGGAAGUGUCCUUGGUCAGAGUAUUGCCCUUGACUAUUAUAUCCGGCAAGUAGAUGGAAUGGUAGCUGAGUUCACGGAUAUAAAUCGUGGAAUGGAAAAGACUGGUACCUUCACUAUGGAAAGGAAAAAGCUUUUCCAGUUGGUAGGAAAGGCUAACUCUAACCUGGCAGAUGUUAUUCUCAAGCUUGGGCUUUUUGAAAGGUCAGACAUUGCUUGGAAGAACGCAAACUAUGCUCAGAUUUGGGAAUACCUUCGAGAUGAAUAUGAGUUAACCCAAAGAUUUGGGAACCUUGAUUUUAAGUUGAAAUUUGUUGAGCACAACAUUCGUUUUCUUCAAGAGAUCCUUCAGAACAGGAAGUCUGAUUUUCUGGAAUGGCUUAUCAUAAUUUUGAUUAGUGUGGAGAUCCUGAUAUCUGUUUACAACAUUGUUCAGGAGCAAAUGUAGCUGACUAUUGUGGGAAUCCUUGCUGGGGCUGAAACCUCGUCAGAACCACUGUGGCACGAACCACGAAUGACACGUUCUGUCUUGUGGAUUUUUCAAUGGAUCAAGACGUUGCAGAAUCUGAGAACCCACCGCUUACUAGUAGAGAAAGGGUAAAGAAAAGAUUGGUAGCCGUGUUGCUGGACGAUACUCCUAUCUUUGGCAAUGUCAGCUUUUGCGGUCGAUUAAGAAAGGGGUCUGGUUUUAGGACGUUGAACCGACUACUAUAGCAACUGCUAGGUGCCCAUGCGUGUUUACCAAAAUUGAAAAUCGAUCCAAAUGUUUUCAAUUGGCUUUAGUAGAAAAUUUAGCGUACACUUCAUAUUUUAUUGAUUUUCUACAAGCUAUAUUAAAUAACGGAUAAUUUUGUACUAAGACACCAAGGUUGUUUGGGUUCUCCCUUCCCUUGCGUAAGUUGUUCUGGCUGAUUGAGCUGGGCUUCAGUUUUUGGCUUUGCUUUUUCUCUCUUCCCUUGGUAUAAGUCGGUGUUGUGUAACAAAAAUUCUUUUUCUUCUAAUAUAUUGACGUGCAAUCCUUUUGCGCGUUCGUGAAAAA
Molecule: non-coding RNA, 1866 nt
Organism: Oryza sativa Japonica Group (Japanese rice)
Lineage: Eukaryota; Viridiplantae; Streptophyta; Magnoliopsida; Poales; Poaceae
Source: RefSeq, a predicted model, not a curated record